UCUCCGUUGGUGAACCAGCGGAGGGAUCAUUACUGAGUUACCGCUCUACAACCCUUUGUGAACAUACCUAACUGUUGCUUCGGCGGGCAGAGGUCCCUCGCGGAUCUCUCCCGGCAACGCCCUCACGGGCGGAGCGCCCGCCGGAGGAUACCAAACUCUAUUUUAACGACGUUUCUUCUGAGUGGCACAAGCAAAUAACUAAAACUUUUAACAACGGAUCUCUUGGUUCUG
RNAcentral lists this unclassified non-coding RNA (231 nucleotides) under plant metagenome. RNAcentral describes it as "partial contains small subunit ribosomal RNA, internal transcribed spacer 1, and 5.8S ribosomal RNA". The record is from RNAcentral.